CUCGCGAAGGGCGUCGGCGGCCCGGUGCGCUUCGACCUCGUCGGCUACGACGGCGAGUCGGUCGAGUCGAUCGUUGUCGACUUCCCGGGC
RNAcentral lists this transfer RNA (90 nucleotides) under Dactylosporangium vinaceum subsp. matsuzakiense. RNAcentral's name for it is "Dactylosporangium matsuzakiense tRNA-Arg". Lineage: Bacteria; Bacillati; Actinomycetota; Actinomycetes; Micromonosporales; Micromonosporaceae. The record is from RNAcentral. RNAcentral also lists the same sequence under 1 other name.